AUAUACCUCCGUACACGCCGGUUCCUCUGCGCCGUCCGCACCCACCUGACGACUGCUUGCUCCGUUUUGUUAGCC
This 75-nucleotide small RNA is filed under the name Xanthomonas campestris. RNAcentral describes it as "sX9 sRNA". It matches the Rfam family "Xanthomonas sRNA sX9". The record is from RNAcentral. RNAcentral also lists the same sequence under 5 other names. Lineage: Bacteria; Pseudomonadati; Pseudomonadota; Gammaproteobacteria; Lysobacterales; Lysobacteraceae.